This 888-nucleotide ribosomal RNA is filed under the name uncultured bacterium. RNAcentral describes it as "bacterial SSU rRNA". It matches the Rfam family "Bacterial small subunit ribosomal RNA", at positions 8 to 944 of the family's 1533-position model. The record is from RNAcentral.
AGAGUUUGAUCAUGGCUCAGAACGUACGCUGGCGGCACGCCUAACACAUGCAAGUCGAACGAAGUAGCAAUACUUAGUGGCAGACGGGUGAGUAACAUGUAGGUAUCUACCCUUUGGCCUGGAAUAACACGAGGAAACUUGUGCUAAUACUGGAUAAGUCUUUACGGAGAAAGCUUUAUGCACCAUUGGAUGAGCCUGCACUUGAUUAGUUUGUUGGUGGGGUAAUGGCCUACCAAGACUGUGAUCAAUAGCUGAUUUGAGAGGAUGAUCAGCCACAUUGGGACUGAGACACGGCCCAAACUCCUACGGGAGGCAGCAGUGGGGAAUCUUGCACAAUGGAGGAAACUCUGAUGCAGCGAUGCCGCGUGAGUGAAGAAGGCCCUUGGGUUGUAAAGCUCUUUCGUCGGGGAAGAAAAUGACUGUACCCGAAUAAGAAGGUCCGGCUAACUUCGUGCCAGCAGCCGCGGUAAUACGAAGGGACCUAGCGUAGUUCGGAAUUACUGGGCUUAAAGAGUUCGUAGGUGGUUGAAAAAGUUGGUGGUGAAAUCCCAGAGCUUAACUCUGGAACUGCCAUCAAAACUUUUCAGCUAGAGUUUGAUAGAGGAAAGCAGAAUUUCUAGUGUAGAGGUGAAAUUCGUAGAUAUUAGAAAGAAUACCAAUUGCGAAGGCAGCUUUCUGGAUCAUUACUGACACUGAGGAACGAAAGCAUGGGUAGCGAAGAGGAUUAGAUACCCUCGUAGUCCAUGCCGUAAACGACGUGUGUUAGACGUUGGAAAUUUAUUUUCAGUGUCGCAGCGAAAGCGAUAAACACACCGCCUGGGGAGUACGACCGCAAGGUUAAAACUCAAAUGAAUUGACGGGGACCCGCACAAGUAGUGGAGCAUGUGG